Molecule: ribosomal RNA, 512 nt
Filed under: Microbispora sp. LP50
Lineage: Bacteria; Bacillati; Actinomycetota; Actinomycetes; Streptosporangiales; Streptosporangiaceae
Description: bacterial SSU rRNA
Rfam family: Bacterial small subunit ribosomal RNA
Source: RNAcentral
GAAAGUUUUUUCGGUUGGGGAUGGGCUCGCGGCCUAUCAGCUUGUUGGUGGGGUGAUGGCCUACCAAGGCGACGACGGGUAGCCGGCCUGAGAGGGCGACCGGCCACACUGGGACUGAGACACGGCCCAGACUCCUACGGGAGGCAGCAGUGGGGAAUAUUGCGCAAUGGGCGGAAGCCUGAGCCAGCGACGCCGCGUGGGGGAUGACGGCCUUCGGGUUGUAAACCUCUUUCAGCAGGGACGAAGUUGACGUGUACCUGUAGAAGAAGCGCCGGCUAACUACGUGCCAGCAGCCGCGGUAAUACGUAGGGCGCGAGCGUUGUCCGGAAUUAUUGGGCGUAAAGAGCUCGUAGGUGGCUUGUUGCGUCUGCCGUGAAAGCCCGUGGCUUAACUACGGGUCUGCGGUGGAUACGGGCAGGCUAGAGGCUGGUAGGGGCAAGCGGAAUUCCUGGUGUAGCGGUGAAAUGCGCAGAUAUCAGGAGGAACACCGGUGGCGAAGGCGGCUUGCUGGG